Molecule: RNA transcript, 3506 nt
Organism: Hordeum vulgare subsp. vulgare (domesticated barley)
Lineage: Eukaryota; Viridiplantae; Streptophyta; Magnoliopsida; Poales; Poaceae
Gene name: stress response protein nst1-like
Exons: 4
Source: RefSeq, a predicted model, not a curated record
CUAUGCGAGUUUCCCUUCUUCCCUCGCCGACCAAACCAAAGGCAAAGAGGACAGAGGAGAGGAGAGGAAAAAAAAAAGAUCGAAGGAAAUUACACAAUCCGAGAGCAAACCUAGGGUUUUCGCCAUGACCACCGCGCACCUCGAGCUCCUCCGCUCCUCCUCCAUUCCCAAUCUCUCCUAGGGCGACGCAGAUACCCGCAUCCCGCAUCCGAGCCGCCUUUCCUUUCCGCCCGCCCCCUCUCUUCCUUCCAUCCCAGGGUUUCCCUCCCCCCUUUCCCCUUUCCGCCCUCAAAGCCGCCGCAUCGCAUCGCAUCGCGUCGCCCACCCAGCAAGCAAGCAAGCCGCCCGCUCUCGUCGUGGGAUUCGGGGGGAGGCGCUGGCGAUCGAGCUCCGGGCGAGGGCCUCGGCAGCGGCGGCGGUCGGAUAAUGUGUAUACUGUGCGCCGUGCAACGGUGGUCGCGCCGCGUCGCCACCAUGCUGCCGUGGCUCGUCCUCCCGCUCAUCCUCCUCUGGGCGCUCUCCCAGCUCCUGCCCGCCGCCUACCGCUUCGAGGUCACCUCCCCGCGCCUCGCCUGCGUCUCCGUCCUCCUCCUCACCCUCUUCUGGUACGAGAUUCUCCUCCCGCGCCUCUCCCUCUGGCGCGCCCGCCGCUCGGCCCGCCUCCGCGAGGAGCGCCGAGCCCAUGCGCUCGAGCUUCAGAAGCUCCGCAAGACCGCCACACGCCGCUGCCGCAACUGCAACAAUCCCUACAGGGACCAGAACCCCGGCGGCGGCAAGUUCAUGUGCUCCUACUGUGGCCACGUAUCCAAGCGGCCUGUGCUUGACAUUGGCCCUGCGGGGAAGGUCCCGGCUGGCUGGCCUUGCACUCAGGAUUGGGCCAAUGCUGUCGGUGACCCCGGUUACUGGCUUGACCUGCAGUGUUCCACCGAUAAUUCCUACUCAGGCUUCUCAUGGCGGCUCUUCUCGUGCUUUUGCACCAGCAUGUCAUGGUUCUGGAAGAAAGUCUUCAGGUUUGGGUCAUCGGUGGACAGCGGUGGAUUGGGCCGGGAUGGCAGAAUGUUGACAAAAGCAGGGGACAAUGGAGGGAAGGCUGAGGAGAGCAGAUUGGACAAGGCGAAAAGGAAGGCUGAGGAGAAGAGGUUGGCCAGGUUGGAGAGGGAAAUGCUCGAGGAGGAGGAAAGGAAGCAGCGCGAAGAGAUGGCAAAGCUAGUGGAGGAGCGGAGAAGGCUGAGGGAUGAGAAGGCAGAGGCUGAGGAGCGAUCCAAAGGCGCUACUCCCGUCGGGGAGAAGGAUGCUAGGAAGGAAGCAGAACGUAGGCGGCAGGAGAGGAGGAGAAAGGAAGACAAGGGAUCAAGCAAGAGCAAUUCAGACUGUGAGGAUGUUGAGAGAAGAGUAAGCAGAGAAGGUGAGAAGAAGCGUGACUUUGAUAGAAGGAAUGACACAGACAGGCGGGAUGUGGCAAGAGUUGGGACAGAUGGAUAUAAGCCCAAUAACUUUGAAGCUAACAGUCAGGGUAGCAAGAUAGCACAGAGCAAGACGAAGUACUUUGGUCGCAUGACUGGAGGUUUGUUAUCUUCUUCCAGAGGUUUUGGCGGUGGUUCCUUUUUUGGUAGAAGUGCUCAGGCCCCUGUUCAUCAAGCUAACAGGGUGACUAAACCGCUCGUUACUGCAACUGACCAGAGUAUUAAAAGAGACACCCAACCUGCAGCUACACCAGCACUGGCCAAAUCUGCUACACCCGCAGAAACUAGAAAUUCAUUGACUAAUUUUAGUCGACCUGUUAGUCCAAAUAUGCAGGCACAUCCUACAGGCCUUAAAAAGUCAUGGCAUCAGUUGUUUAGUCGCUCCGCUGCAGUUUCCCCUUGUCCCGAUAUUACUGCUUCAGCUCGUCAGAAGAACAUGCAGCCUGCCCCAAAUGGUGCACAAAUAAGUAGUGCCCAAAAUUUCCUGGCUCAGUAUCCUCCUCUGGACAGCACGCCGAAGUUAAGCCAAUCCAUGCACUCUGCAGGGUUUUUGCCAGUGAAUGGAGCAUCUGCCAAUAUGCAGCUGUCUCAUUUUCCAGCUGGACAUUUGCCCUUGGGUAAAGUUGCAGAAGCAGCAUUACUGGAAGAACCCGAGCAAUUUGAGGACCCAUGCUAUGAUCCAGAUGCCAUCGCAUUGCUUGGUCCAGUUUCAGAGUCCCUAGACAACUUCCCUCCAGACUGGGAUAGCAGAUUCACCUUGAAUGAUGUUACAAAGGAACCACAUGUUAGGAACCCCAUGCCUUCACCAAUUGAGUCUCCUCUAUCAAGAUCACGAACUGUUGAACGAAAUCCUAUCAGACCCUCACAUUUCUCUACUGCAAAAGGGCAUAAUGGUUCAAUGUCAGCUGAGGCUACCAAUGAGCAAGGCACAUGGCAAAUGUGGAGCACGCCACUGGUUCAGGACAGUUUAGGCCUGCGAGGUCCUCAGGCACAAUGGCUUUUACCAAACACAAAUCAAUUCAACCAUGGCAUCAGUCACUUGAAUGGUGGAAGUGGAACAAGAAGCCCCCUCGGUGCUGGUCUGAGUGACAAUGAUUUAUGGCCGCAGAAAUCACCCUUCCAGCAAUUGCCUCUUGAUACAAAGAGUCUGUUCCUUUCACACGACAUGUCAGAAAGUGCUAUACACAAAGACUCGGGUUUUGGAUCUCCAAACAAAGCAGCCCGUGCGCACCCCUUUGGGCCACCUGAUCCUUAUCAUUCUUGGUCCAAGACGCACAUUCAUGAUCAGCAUUGAGCAACGAGCAAGAUUGAAUUAAGCAUAGCACCAGCCAGGCAGCCACUAGCCCAUGUUCUAAAUCAAACAGAGCACCAGCCACUAAUACAACAUGUACAUAAGUUCAGGACAGAGAAGAGAAACAGUGCAAGAAUGUGGGGAUAAGGAGUUGGGGUGUGUGUGUGUGUGUGGCAAAUCUGGAACUGGAUGCGGGAGGUGCUGCUGGAGGGGGAGGGGUGACAGGAGGGCUGCUGGUCAGAGUAGGAGACAAGGUUAGUGGAGAGUCACUGCCAAUCUGCUUCCGGAGAAGACUAGGUGCAGCUAAUUUCCCCCGACCAUGGCCAUCUCCAUCUCCCUCUCCGCGGACUGUUUCUUUUCCCUACUGCUGGAUGCUGGCCCCACUGACCAGACACGGAAAAUCCAGGUCCAGGCUUCCCUCCCAGCUCGACCCUGCCUAUGGUGUCCAAUGCAGGGCAAGGCGAUGCUCGACCCUGCUUACGGUGUCCAAUGCAGGGCAAGGCGACGCUCAACCCUGCCUAUGGUGUCCAAUUCAGGGCAAGGCGACACACCCCUUGCCAUUUGGAUGCCAUGGUGACACCAUGCCCCUAUGGCGGACGCCACAGGGUAUUUUUAUCGUGAGGUUGGACAGCUUGAGGGAGCAGCUGGUGCCGAAUGGACCCCAGGAAGGUAGUCCAAUCUGCUCGCCUCCGACUGGAGGGCAUGCUGGUUUGUUUCCAACAAAUCCAAAUGCACAAUCAGUCUGGUCGUUU